RNAcentral lists this ribosomal RNA (566 nucleotides) under Pseudocercospora musae. RNAcentral's name for it is "SSU rRNA". It matches the Rfam family "Bacterial small subunit ribosomal RNA", at positions 362 to 949 of the family's 1533-position model. The record is from RNAcentral. Lineage: Eukaryota; Fungi; Ascomycota; Dothideomycetes; Mycosphaerellales; Mycosphaerellaceae.
UAUUGGUCAAUGGCCUAACGGCUGAACCAGCAAUUUGGGGGAAUGUAGGUAUAUAUCUUAUGAUGCAUAUAUACAAAUCGACUACGUCGUAUAAAGUUCUAAAUAGAUAAUUGAUUGUGACAGAUUUCUAUUUAUGUGGCUCGACCAAUUCUUGUGCCAGCAGUCGCGGCAACACAAGUGAGACUAGUGUUAUUCAUCUUUAUUAGGUUUAAAGGGUACCUAGACGGUUUUUUUAACCUGAAAAAUGUACAAAAAAACUAGAGUUUUAUAUGAGAGGUAAAUAUUAGGACUAUUGGUGUAGAGAUGAAAUUUUUUGAUACUAAUUGGACGUAUAAUGGCGAAGGCGAUCCUCUAUUUAUAAACUGACGUUAAGGGACGAAGGCUUGGGGAGCGAAUAGGAUUAGAUACCCUAGUAGUCCAGGCAGAAAAUUAUGAAUGUUAUAGAUUAAGUAUAUAAUUAGUGUAUAAAUGAAAGUGUAAGCAUUCCACCUCAAGAGUAAUGUGGCAACGCAGGAACUGAAAUCAUUAGACCGUUUGUGAAACCAGUAGUGAAGUAUGUUAUUUAA